GUGUGAAAUGAGAAGAUUAGACUGUUGAUGCCAGGGUCUGGAUUAUUCUAGCUUCCAGAUUCCAAAGGGCAUCUUGUAGAGGUGAAGAUCUCCUAACACAGAAGAUAGAAGCAGUGUGCCUAAAUUUGCUUAGAAAGUGCUAACAGAGUUAGAAGUUUUACCAGCAUUUCCUGUCUCAAAAACAAGUUCUCUAUUUGGUCUUCAAUGACAGUAAAACGGGGAUCAGAAACUGUAACUGUUUGUUCAAAAGCAGAAGCUAGAAUCAUUUCAAAGAAAGAGAGCAAAAUCAAAACCGAAACAGCACUUUUACCUAUCCGUAGAAGCAGUGGAGUGUAUCUGCUGGCGGCUUCUAGUCCCGUACUGCAAGUGAAAUUUAUUAACCACAGAGGUGUCUUUCACUUAUGUCUUAAAUUAAGGUAUGUCUGUCACUGCUUAGAUGAUGCAUGAUCUGACACCUCAUUUAUUAAGCCAUCUUCAAAUGUCAGACUCUCGUUUCUAACAGUACUACAACGUAAGAAAGCGGAACCAUGAUUAAGCACCCAGUAAAUAAUUGAGGAUGAUGAUGAAAUCAAAGAACACUGGAAAAGCAACUUGUUAGGUGUGCUGUGGAGAGACUUCUUGUACUGGGCAGAAGGUUGGAUGAAAGAUUCUCUGCAGUCCCUUCCAGCCCUGGGAGUUUAUGCUUGAAAUAUCAACUUAAUUAAAUUGCAAUACUUGUCAACAAUCCAA
Molecule: non-coding RNA, 729 nt
Organism: Microcebus murinus (gray mouse lemur)
Lineage: Eukaryota; Metazoa; Chordata; Mammalia; Primates; Cheirogaleidae
Source: RefSeq, a predicted model, not a curated record